Molecule: long non-coding RNA, 2200 nt
Organism: Aethalodelphis obliquidens (Pacific white-sided dolphin)
Lineage: Eukaryota; Metazoa; Chordata; Mammalia; Artiodactyla; Delphinidae
Exons: 2
Source: RefSeq, a predicted model, not a curated record
CAGGCUGAGGCCGCCCUGGGGUCCCUCCCACCGGCCGCAAAGCCAACCCGCCCAGGUUUUAGUGGCUGCGAGGUCCUCCCACCCUACUCCACGGCCCCUCCCAGCGCGGGGCUCCUUCCGUCCCGGAACCCCGCCUGGCUCCCGCCUCCCGCGCGGCUACCCCUUUGCUGGGGAGAUAGCGUAGGACUUCCUGAUCGCAGCGGCCGUCUCACCGCGAGUCUCAACUGUCUCUUCCCCAGUCCCCAGCCUUUCAUCAAUCCCGAUAUUAGAGGAUUCCCAACGUUUCACCUGUCUUCUGGACAACCUUUGGAGCUGCCACUGGCAACGCACAGCCACGCGGCCAAAGUGGAACCCAGCAUCCCUCAAACAAGUGCCUACUUCCAGGAUUCUCAGUUUCUAACGGGAUACCACCAUCCACUCUGGUGUGCCCACACCAGAUAGUUGAGAAGGAGACCUCCAGAUGGCUGGGAUGCUUCCGAAGAGCCCACCUGAGCCCAGGUGACCUUGGCAUCUCUCCCUAAAAUCCAUCUAUUUACGGCACAUUCCUUGACACCUGUGCCUUUCGGUUCAGUUAGAAGCAUUAGACACAGAGGGAACCAAACACAGUUCAGGCCUUUCCCCUUGUAUCCUGAGGAUGGGAGGAGUUAGCCCCAGGCCUGCCCUAUUAAGGCAGGGCCCAUCCCACCCCUCCUCACCUGGUAUCUGUCUGAGUGGUGCAGGUCAUCGGUGGCAGACGAGUGUGGUGAUGCUGUCGGAGACUCUCCUUCCCUCUUGAUGGAAGCAGACAACAAGAGGGACUGGAAGAAGAAAAAGGACACGUGGCCUCAGGCUGAAUGAGACCUACAGUCAGUUCCCUAGAGUGUCCAGUCCUAUGGAGCUUUUGGGAUAGAGGCAGAGAAAAGGAGGGCAGAGGGGUAGAAACCGCUUGAGAUUCUGAAGGCAUGUGGUCAGGGCCCCCAGAGUCUGGUUGUGGGAAAGGAUAGCUUGAUCCUAGGGAUGGGUGGAGACCCCUGGAGAGGGUCCAACCUCUUCCACCCCAGCGAAUCUCUGUCCCAGUGGGGCAGGCCUCCCAGUGGGCUGAGACUAUAUAUAGGCUUUGUUCUCCCAUAGUGAGCAGAGACUCUGGGACCCCUCUGAAGGGUUGGGGGUAAAGCCACAUCCCUGCUGCCCUGCCUGCCCCUAAUACAGGCUGGUGGCAGCCCCGCUAUGGAGACAGUAAAUUAAAUAGUGUGUAAGAGUUUCCUUCGUGCAGCUAGGGAUGUACACUGGCUCCAUUUAUCCCUGUACUGUGGCGAUGACCCCAGCAAAAAUCCCAGCAAAAUUAAUCCCCCCAUGUCAGUCCUGCAUGGGCUCUUCUACAUAUGCCCGCAGUUUAGAUUAAUAAACUGUCUGCUUUAAAUUGUACGCGAGCACCGCAAUUCUAAAUACCACAUGGCACGUUCAGCCUGCUCUUGCUGCCUCUUGCCAAGGCCUGUUCAACUGCAAACUGGGGCCUGGAGGCCUGAAAGCAAUCCAUACUUCCUCCCCCCCACCUUUUCCAGCCUGCACAGCCCAGAGCCGGAAGCAUACAAUUCCCUAGGAGGCCUCCCCAGCUUAGAAAACCAUGCCAAAUCGCCACUGACAGCCCAAAGAAAGCAAUUUGGGAAAGAUGGAGCAGCCAUUUAUCCUUCAUCUCCGACUGAGCCUUAGGAUGUGACCUGCAUGCGGUGGCCACGCUGCGCAUCCUCAGGCGAGGGCCCUGGGAAGGGGAGCAGCUGCUGGUCUGGCAGGGCUCCCUGACUCGGCCUCAUCACAAGAGCAGAGGAGGGCAGAGGCCAGGCAGGGACUGGGAUGGGAUUCCCUGCAACUUGGAGCCCUUUCCUCACCUACCCAGGCCCAGUGGGAGGCCGAGUGGGUGCCUUGGCCCCCAGCUCGGAAAAGAGGUAGGCUUUCAGGCAAUGGCCUUUCCUUCUCUGGUCCCAAGGAGGAUGCUGAGGAGGGGAAGCAUCGUGGGGCCCCUGCCCCCCCAUCAUGAGAAAGUUCACGCUUGUGUGCUCUCUUUCAUUCUCUCUAGGUUAGAAGCCCUGAGAGGCCUCAGCAUUACACCUGGGGCAAGCGGAAUAAAAAAAGGUCACUGGCGCUUUUUAAACAUGGACCAAAAAGCAGUAAAAUGUGUUUUGAAAAAAAAAUCCCGACAUUAAAUCAUGACUUUUUGCCUGGC